GGGGCUGACCGGUUUUGACAGUAGGAGUAAGGACUGGGCUCGCAUGCAGGCUGGAGUAUGUACGGCCUUGAAAGAUUCAUACGAACCAUACUUGGCGAAUCUAAUUACGCCAUGGCUGCCUAAUCUACCCCUUCGGGGAAUAGAUACUGCUUAAAGGGUUGAGCUUCGAUAGUUGCUCCCCGGCCACAUCCCACUACCCGUUGCACUGUCCGGGUAGAGUUGGGGUGUCGACUUGACGGUGCUGCUCCCUGUGAGGCUACUAAGCAGGGCUAAGAUGAGUGGCUAAGCCGGAAGUAGGUGUGUCACCCAGCAGCUUUCGGCCGACAAUCCAAUCGGUGACUAAGCAUGUAGACGGUACGGUGUUUCCCUAUCUGGACGCGGGUUCGAAUCCCGCCAGCUCCACUU
Non-coding RNA from Cyclobacterium lianum, 405 nucleotides. It matches the Rfam family "transfer-messenger RNA". Rfam says of the family: Bacterial tmRNA, also known as 10Sa RNA or SsrA, is named for its dual tRNA and mRNA-like properties. Its role is to liberate the mRNA from a stalled ribosome. Lineage: Bacteria; Pseudomonadati; Bacteroidota; Cytophagia; Cytophagales; Cyclobacteriaceae. The record is from Rfam.